This 443-nucleotide ribosomal RNA is filed under the name uncultured bacterium. RNAcentral's name for it is "partial 16S ribosomal RNA". It matches the Rfam family "Bacterial small subunit ribosomal RNA", at positions 355 to 784 of the family's 1533-position model. The record is from RNAcentral.
UGGGGAAUUUUGGACAAUGGGCGCAAGCCUGAUCCAGCCAUGCCGCGUGCGGGAAGAAGGCCUUCGGGUUGUAAACCGCUUUUGUCAGGGAAGAAAUCUUCUGAGUUAAUACCUCGGGAGGAUGACGGUACCUGAAGAAUAAGCACCGGCUAACUACGUGCCAGCAGCCGCGGUAAUACGUAGGGUGCAAGCGUUAAUCGGAAUUACUGGGCGUAAAGCGUGCGCAGGCGGUUUUGUAAGACAGAGGUGAAAUCCCCGGGCUCAACCUGGGAACUGCCUUUGUGACUGCAAGGCUUGAGUGCGGCAGAGGGGGGCAUGGAAUUCCGCGUGUAGCAGUGAAAAUUGCGUAGAUAUGCGGAGGAAACACCGAUGGCGAAGGCAAUCCCCCUGGGCCUGCACUGACGCUCAUGCACGAAAGCGUGGGGAGCAAACAGGAUUAGAUA